UCGAGAAUAUUCGGCAAUGGGCGAAAGCCUGACCGAGCGACGCCGCGUGCGGGAUGAAGGCCUUCGGGUUGUAAACCGCUGUCGGGGGGGAUGAAAUAUCAGUGGGUUCUCCCAUUGGUUUGACAGAUCUCCGGAGGAAGGGUGGGCUAAGUUCGUGCCAGCAGCCGCGGUAAGACGUACCACCCAAACGUUAUUCGGAAUCACUGGGCUUAAAGAGUCCGUAGGCGGCUCGGAAAGUUGGGUGUGAAAUACCUCGGCUCAACCGAGGAACUGCACUCAAAACUACCAAGCUUGAGAGAGACAGAGGUAAGCGGAACUGAUGGUGGAGCGGUGAAAUGCGUUGAUAUCAUCAGGAACACCGGUGGCGAAAGCGGCUUACUGGGUCUCUUCUGACGCUGAG
This 400-nucleotide ribosomal RNA is filed under the name uncultured bacterium. Its description in RNAcentral is "bacterial SSU rRNA". It matches the Rfam family "Bacterial small subunit ribosomal RNA", at positions 355 to 750 of the family's 1533-position model. The record is from RNAcentral.